RNAcentral lists this ribosomal RNA (468 nucleotides) under uncultured bacterium. RNAcentral's name for it is "partial 16S ribosomal RNA". It matches the Rfam family "Bacterial small subunit ribosomal RNA", at positions 28 to 507 of the family's 1533-position model. The record is from RNAcentral.
GACGAACGCUGGCGGCGUGCUUAACACAUGCAAGUCGAACGGAAAGGCCCUGCUUUUGUGUGUUGCUCGAGAGGCGAACGGGUGAGUAACACGUGAGUAACCUGUCCUUGACUUUGGGAUAACUUCAGGAAACUGGGGCUAAUACCGGAUAGGAUCUCCUGCUUCAUGGUGGGGGUUGGAAAGUUUCGGCGGUUGGGGAUGGACUCGCGGCUUAUCAGCUUGUUGGUGGGGUAGUGUCUUACCACGGCUUUGACGGGUAGCCGGCCUGAGAGGGUGACCGGCCACAUUGGGACUGAGGUACGGGCAAGACUCCUACGGGAGGCAGCAGUGGGGAAUAUUGCACGAUGGGCGGAGGCCUGAAGCAGCAACUCCGCGUGCGGGAUGACGGCCUUCGGGUUGUAAAACGCUUUGGCCGGUGACGAAGCGUGAGUGACGGUAAUGGGUAAGGAAGCACCGGCUAACUACGUG